RNAcentral lists this ribosomal RNA (253 nucleotides) under uncultured prokaryote. RNAcentral's name for it is "partial 16S ribosomal RNA". It matches the Rfam family "Bacterial small subunit ribosomal RNA", at positions 524 to 776 of the family's 1533-position model. The record is from RNAcentral.
UACAGAGGUGGCUAGCGUUGUUCGGAAUUACUGGGCGUAAAGGGAGCGCAGGCGGCUAAAUCAGUCUGAAGUGCAAGCCCGGGGCUCAACCCCGGAAUCGCUUUGGAUACUAUUUGGCUUGAGUAUGUCAGAGGUGAGCGGAAUUCCAGGUGUAGCGGUGAAAUGCGUAGAUAUCUGGAGGAACAUCCGUGGCGAAGGCGGCUCACUGGGACAACACUGACGCUGAGGCUCGAAAGCGUGGGGAGCGAACGGG